GGAUGAACGCUGGCGGCGUGCCUAAUACAUGCAAGUCGAGCGAACGGACGAGACGCUUGCUUCUCUGAUGUUAGCGGCGGACGGGUGAGUAACACGUGGAUAACCUACCUAUAAGACUGGGAUAACUUCGGGAAACCGGAGCUAAUACCGGAUAAUAUUUUGAACCGCAUGGUUCAAAAGUGAAAGACGGUCUUGCUGUCACUUAUAGAUGGAUCCGCGCUGCAUUAGCUAGUUGGUAAGGUAACGGCUUACCAAGGCAACGAUGCAUAGCCGACCUGAGAGGGUGAUCGGCCACACUGGAACUGAGACACGGUCCAGACCCCUACGGGAGGCAGCAGUAGGGAAUCUUCCGCAAUGGGCGAAAGCCUGACGGAGCAACGCCGCGUGAGUGAUGAAGGUCUUCGGAUCGUAAAACUCUGUUAUUAGGGAAGAACAUAUGUGUAAGUAACUGUGCACAUCUUGACGGUACCUAAUCAGAAAGCCACGGCUAACUACGUG
This 498-nucleotide ribosomal RNA is filed under the name uncultured bacterium. Its description in RNAcentral is "partial 16S ribosomal RNA". It matches the Rfam family "Bacterial small subunit ribosomal RNA", at positions 27 to 507 of the family's 1533-position model. The record is from RNAcentral.